This 253-nucleotide ribosomal RNA is filed under the name uncultured bacterium. RNAcentral describes it as "partial 16S ribosomal RNA". It matches the Rfam family "Bacterial small subunit ribosomal RNA", at positions 524 to 776 of the family's 1533-position model. The record is from RNAcentral.
UACAGAGGUCUCAAGCGUUGUUCGGAUUCAUUGGGCGUAAAGGGCGCGUAGGCUGCGGGGCAAGUCGGGUGUGAAAUCUCAGAGCUCAACUCUGAAACUGCACUCGAUACUGCUUUGCUUGAGGACUGGAGAGGAGAUUGGAAUUCACGGUGUAGCAGUGAAAUGCGUAGAUAUCGUGAGGAAGACCAGUGGCGAAGGCGGGUCUCUGGACAGUUCCUGACGCUGAGGCACGAAGGCCAGGGGAGCAAACGGG